Molecule: ribosomal RNA, 229 nt
Filed under: uncultured bacterium
Lineage: Bacteria
Description: partial 16S ribosomal RNA
Rfam family: Bacterial small subunit ribosomal RNA
Source: RNAcentral
UGCGUAGGUGGAUUAAUAAGUUGGAAUUUAAAUCCCGCAGCUUAACUGCGGACCUGGUUCCAAAACUGUUGAUCUUGAGUUCGAAAGAGGGGAGUGGAAUUCCUAGUGUAGCGGUGGAAUGCGUAGAUAUUAGGAGGAACACCAGUGGCGAAGGCGGCUCUCUGGUUCGAUACUGACACUAAGGCACGAAAGCGUGGGGAGCAAACAGGAUUAGAUACCCUGGUAGUCC